GCACGGAGUUAGCCGGCGCUUAUUCUCCCGGUACUGUCAUUAUCAUCCCGGGUAAAAGAGCUUUACAACCCUAAGGCCUUCAUCACUCACGCGGCAUUGCUGGAUCAGGCUUUCGCCCAUUGUCCAAUAUUCCCCA
RNAcentral lists this ribosomal RNA (136 nucleotides) under uncultured bacterium. RNAcentral's name for it is "partial 16S ribosomal RNA". The record is from RNAcentral.